CACUGAUAGCAGAUCUGAAAACUAGCAUAUACACCGAGCACAUUCAGUCCUCUGUCCAAUAAAAUAAUACAAUCAAAAACAUUUAGUGUCCGACGCUCAGCAAACCUAAACAGCCAGGGGGCAUGUGCUUGUGUAACAGCUUUUAUUGCCGGCGUGACUCCGAAAGCUCAUAGAUACUGUCAGCGACGAGUCUGAUGCUUAUUAAAUGAUUUUGAAUUGGAUUUUAAAGAGCAAACAUU
Sinocyclocheilus grahami is the source of this 239-nucleotide long non-coding RNA. RefSeq lists it as uncharacterized. NCBI's taxonomy places the organism in Eukaryota, Metazoa, Chordata, Actinopteri, Cypriniformes, Cyprinidae. The transcript is spliced from 4 exons. The record is from RefSeq and is a predicted model, not a curated record.